ACGUAGGGUGCGAGCGUUAAUCGGAAUUACUGGGCGUAAAGGGUGCGCAGGCGGCUCCGCAUGUCGGGCGUGAAAUCCCCGGGCUUAACCUGGGAACUGCAUUUGUGACUGCAAGGCUAGAGUGUGUCAGAGGGAGGCGGAAUUCCGCGUGUAGCAGUGAAAUGCGUAGAGAUGCGGAGGAACACCGAUGGCGAAGGCAGCCUCCUGGGAUAACACUGACGCUCAUGCACGACAGCGUGGGGAGCAAACAGGA
RNAcentral lists this ribosomal RNA (253 nucleotides) under uncultured prokaryote. Its description in RNAcentral is "partial 16S ribosomal RNA". It matches the Rfam family "Bacterial small subunit ribosomal RNA", at positions 525 to 777 of the family's 1533-position model. The record is from RNAcentral.